RNAcentral lists this small nucleolar RNA (113 nucleotides) under Mus pahari (shrew mouse). RNAcentral describes it as "snoRNA (MGP_PahariEiJ_G0034230.1)". It matches the Rfam family "Small nucleolar RNA SNORA17", at positions 1 to 108 of the family's 132-position model. From Rfam's summary of the family: snoRNA ACA 17 belongs to the H/ACA family of snoRNAs and is predicted to guide pseudouridylation of the 28S rRNA at positions U4659 and U4598. It shares the same host gene together with ACA43. Lineage: Eukaryota; Metazoa; Chordata; Mammalia; Rodentia; Muridae. The record is from RNAcentral.
ACGGCCCCCUAGACGUGUUGUAGAUGUGGCUACUAGGCCAUAUGUGUAGGUGGCAGAAAGAAGAUAAGCUAUGUUUAUGCUCAGUGUUCUGACAUGCGUUGAGGUUAGGCCUU